GACAUCCAGAGAACUUAGCAGAGAUGCUUUGGUGCCUUCGGGAACUCUGAGACAGGUGCUGCAUGGCUGUCGUCAGCUCGUGUUAUGAAAUGUUGGGUUAAGUCCCGCAACGAGCGCAACCCUUAUCCUUUGUUGCCAGCGGUUCGGCCGGGAACUCAAAGGAGACUGCCGGUGAUAAACCGGAGGAAGGUGGGGAUGACGUCAAGUCAUCAUGGCCCUUACGGCCAGGGCUACACACGUGCUACAAUGGCGCAUACAAAGAGAAGCGACCUCGCGAGAGCAAGCGGACCUCAUAAAGUGCGUCGUAGUCCGGAUUGGAGUCUGCAACUCGACUCCAUGAAGUCGGAAUCGCUAGUAAUCGUAGAUCAGAAUGCUACGGUGAAUACGUUCCCGGGCCUUGUACACACCGCCCGUCACACCAUGGGAGUGGGUUGCAAAAGAAGUAGGUAGCUUAACCUUCGGGAGGGCGCUUACCACUUUGUGAUUCAUGACUGGGGUGAAGUCGUAACAAGGUAGGCGUAGCGAG
This 526-nucleotide ribosomal RNA is filed under the name uncultured bacterium. Its description in RNAcentral is "bacterial SSU rRNA". It matches the Rfam family "Bacterial small subunit ribosomal RNA", at positions 983 to 1509 of the family's 1533-position model. The record is from RNAcentral.